AAGAGAAGCUUUUUAAUUCACCAAAAUUACUAAACUCUUAACACCAUGACCAAGAAACCGAAGACCUAACAAAUUAGUAGGUUACCACCAUAUCUCAAAAUUAAUGUUUAACCAUCAAUACAAUAAAGUAGGCAGCAAGAGUUAUUAAGAACAAGGACUCCCCACCACAUUAGCCGUAUCACCUAAUUCAGAACAUCAACCACACAUGUAACAUCCUAUAAGACACAUACUGGUUUCUAUUAUAUGUAUUUUUAGACCUUCACAAGCCCUCUUCUUCACCUGGCAUCCCAGUUUCAGCGUGCUUCAUACUGAAUAACUGUAGAAAUGAAAAAAGUCUUCUAGUCAACGUAACAAUACAAGCUUAGAUGAUUACACGAUGCAAACACUUUAACAGGUAAUGUUCACGCAAAAUUAUUAACAUUUUAUCAUGAAAUGAACAAAAAUUGCUGUUGGCUAUCAAUAUAGAAAUUAUUAACAAAAAUUUCUAUGUUAGUCCAUUAAUAUUUAAUUGAAAUGUUAUCCAUAACAAGCCUAUCGGAAAUGAAGUUCUAUAGAACUGAACUCGAGUAAUUACAACAAAAUUUAAACUAGAAUAGUCAUUGGCCAUAUAUUUACAUGGUUGAAUUAGGCAAAGAUCACACUGCUCAUCUCCUAGCAGGCUGAGACAACCAUGGAGUAGUUGUCAGUUGUCUUUACUUCAUCAUGCAAAUCAAUCCAGGCAGGCAAACUACAAUAUAUUUUACAUCAAUUAGAUGCAUCCAAUGUAGUUCCUAUUUUUCCUCUUUUUUCUUUGAUUUUAUUUUCAUUGACUAUUCCCAUAGUUCAUACACUCGGAUCUAUAAAGUAAUAUUUUUGAUCUUCUUCUCUUUGAAAGGCGGCUACAAUUUCUCUCUCUUCUGAAAAACAUUUCUCACUGUUAUCUUUGAGAAUUAUUGCAACUUAGGAUGCCGACGUAGAUGCUAUAGUCGCCAUUUUCUGGUACGUUGUCUGUGUGCGGCCCGCCAAGCAAAGACAAUGUUUUCGUGGUUUGGCUAUGGUCAUCGGUCUUCGAGAAUUUGUUGCAGUCGAGAGGAAGACUUUCGAUGUGGUAUCUGAAGGCAAAGGUACUAGGGGUUUUUGAGAAUAGGAGGGGGUUUCGGAAAUCUAUUUUCUAUCAGGAGGAGGACAUUGAGUGGUUAUUGCAGUGCUUUAGGGAGUUCAGAUGGUGAAAGAAGAUGGUGCUUGGGGAAGGAGCCGAAGGAAUAGUUGGAGAACUCUCAUGAUGAUGCUUAGCAGUAAUAGAAAUGGCAAGUUUCUGAUUCUCACAUAAAGGAAAGUGGAUGCUAGGGGGGAUGGGAAUAGGGUAUUUAUCCCUGAAGGGGAUAAGGCGGAAGGUUGGUGACAGAUGAUGGAUGCUCCUCAUGAGGUGGCUGGAGUGGCAUUGGUUCCGCUUGAGUGGGUUACAAAGAAAAAUUUGGCUCCGAAGAGGGAUGUGGUUAUAGCAAUAGAGCUGCUGGUCAAUGUGUUCAGAUGCCCAGAUUGUAUGAACGUGUUUGAGGCGAAAAUGGUGAAGCAACGGGGUGCAUCAUUUACUGAUGUCCUGUCCCAGUCUGAGAAGGGGGAGAAUCAGGCAAGGAAGGAGGGGAGUUCGGAUCUUACUGGAGCGGGUCGGGGCAAUUUGAAAUUUGAAAACAAAAGUGGGAGUGAUCACGUGAGGGAGGUUUGGGGGGAUGUUCCAGUUGGGUUCAUGAGAAAUAGGCCUAAGCCGGGUAACGCUUUUGGGCUGAAUGGGAAGAGGAGGCUCUCAUGGGCUGAAAAGGGUAAAUGGGUGACCACGCCAGCCCUAGCAAAAAAGCAGGGCAGAAACGGGUUCAGUUUUGGAGACCAAAAAAAACCGAAUCUCCAAAAGUUAAAACCCGGUUCAUGAAAAUGUGCCCCAUUCCCACAGUUGAGAAAGAGUCGACGGAAUCUAGGGGCUCAGGAGGAAUCUAAACUCAUCGAUGAAGGAGAAAUGAAGUUGAUGACGGCAGAGGUCAGUGUGGUGGAGAACAAAGCCAGGAAUGAAUCAAAUUGUUUGAAUGAAGAAUUAACUGAGAGGAACGGAUUGGAAGUAAGUGGGAGGGGAACAGAUUGGAAGUAAGUAGGAGGGAAAUAGAGGUUUCGGGGGACAUGGCGAGUAGGGAGAAGGAAAAGAAUUUGUGCGAUAUAGUGAUUAUGGAUGAGCCUUCCGAAGAGGUCUUGAACGUGACUCCAAUUCAAUGUGAUAUACUCUUUGAAUCCAGUGAUUGAAUCUGCUAGACAGAGGAGGGAUGCAUGCAACAUAUGUACCCUGAACGGGUUCAAAGGAACUUCCAAAAGGUCAGUAAAUUAUUUGAAGUUUCUUCUCUUGGUGUGGAUGAGAGAGUUCUUAGUUUGAUUGAGGAGAUUGAAAUGAAGCAUGUUGAGAAAUGAAAGUGUAAGACUUCGGUGAGAAAAGUAAAAAAAAAGCAGGGGGAGGGGGAAAGCAUAGAACUAAGAAGACUACAAUGCUCAGUUAAUUAUGAAGGAAAAAAGAGUGGUGGGAAGGGGGAGAGGAUUCUGUCUAGAGAUGUCAUUCCAUGAUCGGAAAAAUUAUAUCAUGGAAUGUGAGGGAACUGAAUGAUAAGAAGAAAAGGGGAGUGAUUAAAGGGUGCAUUGGAAGACGGAAACUUGAUGUUGUGUGUCUUCAAGAAACUAAAAUGGAGGAGAUUAACCAGGUUAUUAUCAGUGAUCUUCGGCAGAAUAGAAAGGUGAAGUGGGAGUUUCUUCAAGCGGUAAGUGUGGCUGGAGGGGUGGUUGUUAUGUAGGAUGGGGAUAAAUAUAAUUGUAAGGAGAUAGAAGUGGGUAGAGUUUCUU
This 2853-nucleotide long non-coding RNA is filed under the name Carica papaya (papaya). Its description in RNAcentral is "long non-coding RNA (CPAP_LNC002606)". Lineage: Eukaryota; Viridiplantae; Streptophyta; Magnoliopsida; Brassicales; Caricaceae. The record is from RNAcentral.